UACGAAGGGGGCUAGCGUUGCUCGGAAUCACUGGGUUUAAAGGGUGCGUAGGUGGUCCGUUAAGUUCGUUGUGAAAGCCCUGGGCUCAACCCAGGAACUGCUUCGAAUACUGGCGGACUUGAGGCUAGUAGAGGUCACUGGAACUGACGGUGGAGCGGUGAAAUGCGUAGAUAUCGUCAGGAACGCCAAUGGUGAAGACAGGUGACUGGGCUAGUUCUGACACUGAGGCACGAAAGCGUGGGGAUCAAACGGG
Molecule: ribosomal RNA, 253 nt
Filed under: uncultured bacterium
Lineage: Bacteria
Description: partial 16S ribosomal RNA
Rfam family: Bacterial small subunit ribosomal RNA
Source: RNAcentral